AUCCUUUCAAGCUCUUUUGUCAAAUUAGUUUACUUAAUUUAUAUGUUAAUUAUAAGCUCAUUGAUGUUGCAGGCUUCACCUGUUAUGAUUAAUGGAUUCCGCGUCGUUGUUGAGGAAAAGAGAUCUACUUCCCGAGGCAAGCUAAAUUUUAUCGUCAAAUUUUUGUUCCUUUAAGAUCUAUCACCCUAUUCACUUGCAAUGUGUGGGCAUGAUUCUUUUUACUGAUUUGUAACAGUUUUGGCCAAAAUGAUGUCUAGUGAUUUAGCUUGAGCCCAGGAGUUCUAUUUAGAAUAAAGAACUGGAGAUUUGAUCAAAUCAAGAAAUUGUAUGAUAGAACUUCAAUGUCUAUUCUUUUAGGAAAGUUAAUAUAUAGUAACCCCCUACAUUCUAGGAAUUUCAUCAUUUAUAAUCUCCUUAGAGCGUCUAUCAGUUAUAUAUAACAUGGAGGGUUUCUGUUUGAAAAAGGAGCUGAUGUCUUAAGCCAUCAUGCUAUAUAUUAUCAUGCCCCAAACUGAAAUAAUUGUAAGGUAUGCCUAAUGGAAACAAAAAGCAUUUUGGCUUUUUAGUAAUCUGUUCCAAGAGGACCUCAAAAUCCAGGUUAUUCUUACAGAUUGAAGGUGCUUUAUCUAUCUCAGAGUGAAUAUCCUCAGACCAGUUUUUCAUAGUGACAUCUCUAUUUUUAUAAUGUUUCCAUGUAUUGGUCUGUAUGGUGCGGGACAACAUCUGUGCUUGUAAAACUGGAAAAUGUGAUUGAGCAAGAAGUAUAUAAUCUACUCUCUCCAGUUUAAGCAAGAAGUGGUUUUUUCUCUAAUGUGAUUGAGCUUAUCUAUCUCUUUCUCUUCACCACAGGGAACAAUAGGGGACGAUAUCCAUCUGGAUCAGGGGCUGGAUAUAAAAACGAAGGAAUGAGAGCGCGUGGUAAUCUUGGAGGAAAAGUCUAUGGCAGGAUUGAUAGUGGUGGUAACAGGACAGAGUUUGGAAACAGAGGUG
RNAcentral lists this long non-coding RNA (990 nucleotides) under Populus tremula. RNAcentral describes it as "long non-coding RNA (PTRE_LNC001756)". The record is from RNAcentral. Lineage: Eukaryota; Viridiplantae; Streptophyta; Magnoliopsida; Malpighiales; Salicaceae.